Molecule: ribosomal RNA, 652 nt
Filed under: uncultured Methanosaeta sp.
Lineage: Archaea; Methanobacteriati; Methanobacteriota; Methanomicrobia; Methanotrichales; Methanotrichaceae
Description: bacterial SSU rRNA
Rfam family: Archaeal small subunit ribosomal RNA
Source: RNAcentral
UUCCGUUUGAUCCUGGCGGAGGUUACUGCUAUCGAGGUUCGACUAAGCCAUGCGAGUCGAAUGUAGCAAUACAUGGCGUACUGCUCAGUAACACGUGGACAACCUACCCUUAGGUCGGGGAUAAACCCGGGAAACUGGGUAUAAUACCCGAUAGUCCUCGGAUGCUGGAAUGCACCGAGGUCUAAAGCUCCGGCGCCUAAGGAUGGGUCCGCGGCCUAUCAGGUAGUAGUGGGUGUAGCGUACCUACUAGCCUACGACGGGUACGGGUUGUGAGAGCAAGAGCCCGUAGAUGGAUUCUGAGACACGAAUCCAGGCCCUACGGGGUGCAGCAGGCGCGAAAACUUUACAAUGCCGGCAACGGCGAUAAGGGGACCUCGAGUGCCAGGUUACAAAUCGGGCUGUCGUGAUGCCUAAAAAGCAUUGCAUAGCAAGGGCCGGGCAAGACCGGUGCCAGCCGCCGCGGUAACACCGGCGGCUCGAGUGGUAACCGUUAUUAUUGGGUCUAAAGGGUCUGUAGCCGGCCGGAUAAGUCUCUUGGGAAAUCCAGCAGCUCAACUGUUGGGCUUUCAGGAGAUACUGUCUGGCUCGAGGCCGGGAGAGGUGAGAGGUACUUCAGGGGUAGGGGGAAAUCUUGUAAUUCGAAGGACCACCA